AUUCCACAUCUCGCACUACUCUAUCGCGCGCUACUUCUUCGUAUCUUUCUGAUCUGUAUUUCAGUGAUGAGCG
Non-coding RNA from Pangasianodon gigas (Mekong giant catfish), 73 nucleotides. Lineage: Eukaryota; Metazoa; Chordata; Actinopteri; Siluriformes; Pangasiidae. The record is from the annotation of a GenBank genome assembly.